UCAAACUUGGUCAUUUAGAGGAAGUAAAAGUCGUAACAAGGUUUCCGUAGGUGAACCUGCGGAAGGAUCAUUAAUGAAUUUGGGCACUCGAAAGAGGCCCGACCUUCAUCUUUCCACCCUGUGCACUAUUAUCCAUAUUGUUCUUUGCUACCCAGUCGCUAGUUGUCUUUGUUGGCAGCUCUCGGCACUACAACGGGGCAGGAAUGAUUCAUUUUUUAAACACUACACAAAGUCAAAGAAUGUUGUAACAAACUACAAACCAAAUAAAACUUUCAACAACGGAUCUCUUGGCUCUCGCAUCGAUGAAGAACGCAGC
RNAcentral lists this unclassified non-coding RNA (316 nucleotides) under uncultured fungus. RNAcentral describes it as "partial contains small subunit ribosomal RNA, internal transcribed spacer 1, and 5.8S ribosomal RNA". The stretch from base 1 to 73 matches the Rfam family "Eukaryotic small subunit ribosomal RNA", at positions 1759 to 1831 of the family's 1831-position model. Lineage: Eukaryota; Fungi. The record is from RNAcentral.